This is a small nuclear RNA of Xenopus tropicalis (tropical clawed frog), 196 nucleotides long. Its record names the gene U2. It matches the Rfam family "U2 spliceosomal RNA". Rfam says of the family: U2 is a small nuclear RNA (snRNA) component of the spliceosome (involved in pre-mRNA splicing). Complementary binding between U2 snRNA (in an area lying towards the 5' end but 3' to hairpin I) and the branchpoint sequence (BPS) of the intron results the bulging out of an unpaired adenosine, on the BPS, which initiates a nucleophilic attack at the intronic 5' splice site, thus starting the first of two transesterification reactions that mediate splicing. The record is from Ensembl. NCBI's taxonomy places the organism in Eukaryota, Metazoa, Chordata, Amphibia, Anura, Pipidae.
AUUUCUUCUCUGCCUUUUGGCUAAGAACAAGUGUAUUAUCUGUUCUUAUCAGUAGGGGUUUCUGCUAAUGCUCCGUAAGUAAGUCAGUGCUCACUUGAUUCUCUGGCCAGGGGGCUGGCUGCUAUGGAGCCAGAGCAUUUUUUUGCCCCAGGCUUUGUACCCUUGGGGUGCCCAAACACAAGGGUUUGCACUUUUU